This is a long non-coding RNA of Vidua chalybeata, 844 nucleotides long. RefSeq lists it as uncharacterized. The record is from RefSeq and is a predicted model, not a curated record. Lineage: Eukaryota; Metazoa; Chordata; Aves; Passeriformes; Viduidae. The transcript has 6 exons.
CAAAGAUGUCUGCCUUGGGCAAGUAGCAGUAUUGCUGCAGAGAGAAGGGAAAGAUGUUAGAAAGGAACAUCUUGCUACACUAAGCAAAGAUUUCACAGCCAGACCAGACAGAAGAAAGAGGAGAUAAGGUCACCUGAGACAAAGAACAAGCAACUGAAAUGUAGUGAAGUAAACUGAAGUCACUCUCCAAUGAAAGCCUGCAUUCUAUAGGCACCAACAAAGAAACACUGAGCAAGAGAGCAACUAACUCAGGAAUCUGCACUUGGAAACAAGCACAUGAAUUUUCUGUGACUUGUCUUCUUAGAGGAAUUAAUUCUGAUGUUCAGCCACCAGAACACAAGCAAUACAUCAAUGCUGCAGCAAUGACCACCACAUUUUGUGGUUGCCUCCGCCGGAUUUGGAAGCAGUACUCCAAACAGCUGUCACCACUCUUCAUUGAGCCCCAAGACUACAGGUGCAGGCAAAAGAUGAACAUUACAUAUUUGCCUUCAGCAGCUCUAGUAGCUAAAGGUUUUCACAAACCACUGCUGUGAUUGCUGUAGUUUAUGGUACAGAGGAGGUAAAACAAUAAUUGUGGCAGCCCUGGAUGUUACCUGGUAGCAGAUUUGCUCUGCAGGUGUAGUUUUUCCAUGGAGACAAUUUGCCUGCAAUCCCAGUCUCCUCGGCUAGAGGGUACCGUUAUCCUUCCAUUAGCCCGGCUAUUGCAGUUACAAAGAACAAUUCCACUUUUUCUACGUUUGUCAUAUCAAACAAAUGUUAAAAAAAACAUUCAGCUUGGACCUUUUCUGUCCUAGGUAUUCAUCCUCUGGCACGAGGCCAUGGUUUAUACUCAAAAACAGAAAAA